This 76-nucleotide transfer RNA is filed under the name Thermoflexales bacterium. RNAcentral describes it as "tRNA-Trp". It matches the Rfam family "tRNA". Rfam says of the family: Transfer RNA (tRNA) molecules are approximately 80 nucleotides in length. Lineage: Bacteria; Bacillati; Chloroflexota; Thermoflexia; Thermoflexales. The record is from RNAcentral.
AGGCCAGUGGCGCAACUGGCAGCGCACCGCUCUCCAAAAGCGGGGGUUGCGGGUUCAAAUCCUGCCUGGCCUGCCA